UUUCUUAUUCACUUUUCUGC
This 20-nucleotide non-coding RNA is filed under the name Rattus norvegicus (Norway rat). The record is from RNAcentral. Lineage: Eukaryota; Metazoa; Chordata; Mammalia; Rodentia; Muridae.